This 490-nucleotide ribosomal RNA is filed under the name uncultured bacterium. Its description in RNAcentral is "partial 16S ribosomal RNA". It matches the Rfam family "Bacterial small subunit ribosomal RNA", at positions 30 to 507 of the family's 1533-position model. The record is from RNAcentral.
AUUGAACGCUGGCGGCAGGCCUAACACAUGCAAGUCGAACGGUAACAGGAAGAAGCUUGCUUCUUUGCUGACGAGUGGCGGACGGGUGAGUAAUGUCUGGGAAACUGCCUGAUGGAGGGGGAUAACUACUGGAAACGGUAGCUAAUACCGCAUAACGUCGCAAGACCAAAGAGGGGGACCUUCGGGCCUCUUUCCAUCGGAUUUGCCCAGAUGGGAUUAGCUAGUAGGUGGGGUAACGGCUCACCUAGGCGACGAUCCCUAGCUGGUCUGAGAGGAUGACCAGCCACACUGGAACUGAGACACGGUCCAGACUCCUACGGGAGGCAGCAGUGGGGAAUAUUGCACAAUGGGCGCAAGCCUGAUGCAGCCAUGCCGCGUGUAUGAAGAAGGCCUUCGGGUUGUAAAGUACUUUCAGCGGGGAGGAAGGGAGGAAAGUUAAUACCUUUGCUCAUUGACGUUACCCGCAGAAGAAGCACCGGCUAACUCCGUG